CCUCGUUAAAAUAUCUCUGGUUUGCUAUUUAAGAAAAUAAAAUGGUCGAUCAUGUAUGCACUUGACAUGUAAAUAUAAACAAGAACAAAGAGGUAUCCAAAUGUAUAUCGUGAUUAUACUUAUAUGUUGUAUGAUUAAUACACAAAGUUAAACACACAAACUAAGUGAAUACAAACCAUUCAGAAAAUUGUUCCGCCUUCAUUCUGUUUUUUGAAAAUACAUUAUUUAUAUAUAUAUUUUUUUGCAGCAUAAAAACGUACAUACACAGAUGUAUCAGGUUUCUUCGACAUUGUAGCAUAUAUAUUAUUUGUAUCUCGAUACAAUGUGAAUUAAAAAAGACUAACACCCCUUACAUAGUCAAGUUCGAUAACAUAAGCAUAUUAAUUGUGGCCUUAAAAUUCAUAGUAUUGUUUAAGAAUACAUUUGCAUUGCAGCGAUACAACUUUGAUUUAAAUGUUUAAAAGUCUUGACUUCCUUUUUUCUGCUGAACUACAUAUACAAUCAUCACAUUGCAAAGCGUCUUCAUAAUAAUGAAAAGCUGCGUCAUUGUCACCGGCUAUCUCACAACAUACUCCAAAUAGUGUUAA
Molecule: long non-coding RNA, 587 nt
Filed under: Mytilus galloprovincialis (Mediterranean mussel)
Lineage: Eukaryota; Metazoa; Mollusca; Bivalvia; Mytilida; Mytilidae
Source: RNAcentral